CCUGGAGACCGGAAGUGAGACACUCGCGGAUUCCCAGUCGCUCCCAGGUUCAGGGUGGACUCGGACACUGGCAGCUCGGAGGCCUGUCAGGAGUCCCCCCAACCUGCCCCCAGUCCGCCCCACUGGAAGGGCCGACAGGUUUUGGCAAUUACGAGUAAAGCUGCUAUAAACAUUCCUGUACAGGCUUUUUUGUGGACGUAAGUUUCCAGCUCCUUUGGGGAGAUACCAAGGAACAUCAUUGCUGAGUCAUAUGAUUAAUGUGUUUACCAGAGAAGUGAAACACACUAGGAUUACAUAUCUGUGUCCAGCAACAAAUCUGACUACUCAGGACCACCGCGUGGUCAGGGAUGUCCAGCCAGUCCCAGAUGUCCCAGCCUUCGCAGGCCAGGCACCUGACAUGAGCAUGAGGAAGCCACAGUGAACAAUCCAGCCUUGGGAGACAAGCCAUGGAGGGGAAAUGAGGAACCCAGCUGCCAGCCAGGACAGACACUCCAGCUGGGUGGCCCCUAUGUGAGCCAUCUCAGCCACGGCCAGGUGCUAGAUCCACUCCAGCUGAGGCCCCAGCUGUCCUGGAGCAGGGGUGAGCAGUCCCCACUGUGCCCUGCCUGAUUUCCUGACCUAUAAAAUGAGCAUCAUUUCAAAUGAAUCAGCAUUCUCAUCUCAACAGACUCAGUUGGCAGAAAGAAAUCUAGAUGCUGUGAGAAGAGAGAAGGUGAAAGAACAGUUCAGAAGGAGUGGGAAAAGACAGGUGGAAGAGACACUGGAUAGUUUACUACAAUAUGACUACCUAUACCAUCAAAGGGCCCACUUACUAAAACAUCUGGAUCACAAUGUUCUAAAGUUAGGAAUGAGAGAAGUCAAGUUGUUCCACAUCUAAUCAGGUAUAACAGUAAUUCUUAACUUUUUUUGUGCCUUCGAGAAUAUGACAGUAAGAGUAGGCCCUAUGUCCAGAAAAAAAAAAAUGUACAUGAAGAACAGCUAGUCAUAAUACUCAAGAUGGAAUAGAGUUAGUCCCUUUGCUCUCCCAGACUUGCCACUGUCAUAGUAGGAUAGGGUUUUUUUCUUAAUGCUUUCUGUUCUCUUGAAACAAAAUAUUUUCAAGUCUAUUUUCAUAAUGAUGAUUCCCAAUAUUUUUUCCUGCUUAGCAAGUUUAAAAUUCUUUAAUUUUCAAGGUCAUGCAUAUCUAUUUUUGUAUGUGUCUGUUGUUAAAUGCAGCCACUAUUUUGUAACCUAAUUUUAGGCAUUGUCUCAAGUCUACAAGAAUCAUUCAAAAUGGUAUCUAGUGACAUUCCUACGACUUUAGACAAUAUUAUUAUUAUCGUGGAAUGUAGUUACUGGGUCCUAAGGAUUUAACAAGAUGCUGUUUACUGAAACUGAACUUCAUUGAAUCCUUUCUCAUUCCACUGUGGUUUCCACAUUUCAGUAUAUUUCCUAUUUUUGUCCCCCAAACCUUACUUAUAUCUUUUAAACAAUUAAAUACAAUCAUCCCUGCUUCCCUGAUUUUUGAGGUGACCUUUUUCUCCUGGUAUCCUUUUAAUAAAGGAAAAUACUCCCUCUGGUCUUUUUUUGGUCUCUUAUGUGACUAAAGGGUUUGUAAAUGGUCACACAUUUUGCACCUACAUGUCAUUUUCUUCUUAAUUUUUCAAAUUCUUUCCCCCCAAAGUUGUUGCUAUUUCUGUUAACUAUUUGGAGGAACAAAUAGUUCCCAUCUUCCACUUUUGUGACAUACCUAUUUAUACUUGAGCUCCUUG
This is a long non-coding RNA of Camelus dromedarius (Arabian camel), 1751 nucleotides long. RefSeq lists it as uncharacterized. NCBI's taxonomy places the organism in Eukaryota, Metazoa, Chordata, Mammalia, Artiodactyla, Camelidae. The transcript has 4 exons. The record is from RefSeq and is a predicted model, not a curated record.